This 1374-nucleotide ribosomal RNA is filed under the name Laxta sp. AUS2. Its description in RNAcentral is "16S ribosomal RNA". The stretch from base 895 to 1251 matches the Rfam family "Archaeal large subunit ribosomal RNA", at positions 2152 to 2714 of the family's 2987-position model. The record is from RNAcentral. Lineage: Eukaryota; Metazoa; Arthropoda; Insecta; Blattodea; Blaberidae.
CGUGCAAUUCGAUAUGAUUUGAUUGGAUUUAAUUUAUUUUUAUAAUAUAGGAUUUAUGAAAUUUUAGAAAAUUAUUUUUUUGUUGAUGUAUUUUUAAAAGAUUUAAUUAUUUGUAUUAUAGUUAAUUUGUACUGUGAAGGUUUAUUGAAAUAUUAUUAUUAUUAUUAUAUAAGUUGAAUUUUGUUUUGUACCUUUUGUAUCAGAGUUGAUUAAUUAAUUUUUAUUUAUUUUAUUGUUCUCGAUUUCUUUAGAGUUAAUUAAUUAUUUUAGUUAUUGUGAUAUUAAUAUUAAAAAUAAUUAGUUAGUAGUGAAAUGCUAUUCGUUAAGGAAGGUAUCUAGUUUCUUGGGAAAUAAAUUUAAUUUACAUUUUUUCUUAUAAUUGAUUUUUUUGUGAAAGUUAAUUUUGAGUUAAGAUGAUUAAUAGGGGGGAUAAGCUUUUUAUUAAGUUGUUAUAGAAGGUAUAGUAAAGAAAAGAUUUUUAUGGAUUUAAUGAUGAUUUUUAUUAUAAGUAUAUUAAAAUUUGGGUCUUGUAUUUUAUGAUUUUUGUUUUCUUAAGUAUUUAUUGGGAUAAUUUAUUUAAUUUUAUAUUAUUUUUAGUUAUGAUUUAAUUAGUAUAAUUAUUUUUGUUUAAUAAUUGUUUAUUGGUUAGUAAUUUUGAGGAAUUAGGCAAUAAUAUUUAUUCGCUUGUUUAACAAAAACAUCUCUUCUUGUAUUUAUUUGAGGUAUAACCUGCCCAAUGAGUUUUAAAUGGCCGCAGUAUUUUGACUGUGCAAAGGUAGCAUAAUCAAUAGUCUUUUAAUUGGGGGCUGGAAUGAAUGGUUGGACGAGAUAAGAACUAUCUUAAUUUUAUUUUAUUAAAAUUUAAUUUUUAAGUUAAAAAGCUUAAAUAUUUUUAUGGGACGAGAAGACCCUAUAGAGUUUAAUAUUUUUGAUUGAGUCUUUGUUGAAUAAAUAUAAACUAUUUUAGAAAAUAUUUUAUUGGGGUGAUAGAAAGAUAUAUAUAACUCUUUUUACUUUUAAUUAUUUAUUUAUAUAUUUAUGAUCCACUAUUUGUGAUUAUAAGAUUAAAUUACCUUAGGGAUAACAGCGUAAUCUUUUUUGAGAGCUCUAAUCGACAGGGAGGAUUGCGACCUCGAUGUUGGAUUAAGAAUAUACUUAGGAGUAGGAGCUUAAGUGUUAGGUCUGUUCGACCUUUGAAAUCUUACAUGAUCUGAGUUCAAACCGGCGUGAGCCAGGUUGGUUUCUAUCUAUUAGUAAUAGUUUUUGUUUUAGUACGAAAGGACCAAACAUGAAGGAAUAAUUUUUAUAUAUAGAUUAUUAUGAAUAUAAGACUAUUUUGGCAGAUAAGUGCGGUGGAUUUAGAAUCUAUAUAUA